RNAcentral lists this long non-coding RNA (912 nucleotides) under Gossypium raimondii (Peruvian cotton). Its description in RNAcentral is "long non-coding RNA (GRAI_LNC010028)". Lineage: Eukaryota; Viridiplantae; Streptophyta; Magnoliopsida; Malvales; Malvaceae. The record is from RNAcentral.
UAAUAACCGGAAUCACCCAAGGUUCCAUUGAUCUUUUUUUCUUUUCCCUUCUAAUGUGUUGAUAACGAUGAACUCCUUUUAUAGGUUAUACGGUUGUCGUACGUUAGAUUGAAUAUCAUACUUUUCAAACCCCUAAAAGAAGAAGAAAAGAAAAGUCAUAAACCGCGUUUGGGUAUAUCGAAAUUGAAUGAAGCAAUUAUUAGGGUAUAGAUUAGUAACUACGAAACCAUAUGUUUAAAGGUAAAAGUCAAACAUACAUAAAUAUUUUAAUUGGUUACAUCGGGCUAGGCAAUGGGCGGAGCUUUGACUGUUUCUGCCGGAGUAACGCGGGGUUUGACGCUGUAUUACAAUUCGGGUUUCCAGUGUAAAGGGUAAUAUGAUGUGUUGAAUUGUGAUGGUGGAAUAAGUUUUAUUUUUGUUUUCGAUAAUUGAAAUUUGUAUUCAGCGGAAAUGCCCAUUACAAAAUGAGGACCAAAAACAGUUUAUAACUAUGACAUUAUAUCUAUUAAACAUAAUGCAAUAGUUAUCUUGUUUAUUAUAUUUAUAAGUGUUAAAAGUAACAUGUUUUAAUCUCAUUCUUAACGCGUUUUGAGUGAUUAUCUGAUGUUAAUUGCGAAUUUUAUACUCAUAAUCCUUUAAAUUCAUGUUUCAAUGCUUAAUAGAGCACUUGGGAGUGAAAAUCGGAGCGUCAGAGCAAAGUUGAAGGAGCCAUACAGGAUACACCUUUUCACACUACCGUGUGAUAUGCCGUGUCAAUUUCACAAGAUUGUGCACUGAACAGCAGAAAAUCACGAUUUUUAGGUUUUCUUUGGCAUUCUAAGACAUAUAUAUAACAAAGAUAAGAAAAUAUGAGAGAGCCGUUAAAGAAUACUAAAGAAAACAACUCAAAAAACAGCAUUGAAGCCGAUUUUG